GACAGAAAGUGCAAACGUUGUUCGGAAUUACUGAGCGUAAAGCGCGUGUAAACGGCCCUGCAAGUCGGAUGUGAAAUCCCACGGCUCAACCAUGGAAGUGCAUUCGAAACUGCAGAGCUAGAGUCCUGGAGAGGAAGGUGGAAUGCUUGGUGUAGAGGUGAAAUUCGUAGAUAUCAAGUAGAACACCGGUGGCGAAGGCGGCCUUCUGGACAGUGGCUGACGCUGAGACGCGAAAGCGUGGGGAGCAAACAGG
RNAcentral lists this ribosomal RNA (253 nucleotides) under uncultured bacterium. RNAcentral's name for it is "partial 16S ribosomal RNA". It matches the Rfam family "Bacterial small subunit ribosomal RNA", at positions 524 to 776 of the family's 1533-position model. The record is from RNAcentral.